CCGCCGCGGUAAUACGAAGGGGGCUAGCGUUGUUCGGAAUCACUGGGCGUAAAGCGCACGCAGGCGGAUCAUUAAGCUAGGGGUGAAAUCCCGGGGCUCAACCUCGGAACUGCCUUUAGAACUGGUGAUCUAGAGUCCGGAAGAGGAUGGUGGAAUUCCUAGUGUAGAGGUGAAAUUCGUAGAUAUUAGGAGGAACACCAGUGGCGAAGGCGGCCAUCUGGUCCGGAACUGACGCUCAGGUGCGAAAGUGUGGGGAGCAAACAGGAUUAGAUACCCUGGUAGUCCACACCGUAAACGAUGAGUGCUAGAUGUCGGGGGUUUGACCCUCGGUGUCGCAGCUAACGCAUUAAGCACUCCGCCUGGGGAGUACGGUCGCAAGAUUAAAACUCAAAGGAAUUGACGGGGACCCGCACAAGCGGUGGAGCAUGUGGUUUAAUUCGAGGCAACGCGAAGAACCUUACCAGCUUUUGCAUCCCGAUCGCGGAUAUCAGAGAUGAUUUCCAUCAGUUCGGCUGGAUCGGUGACAGGUGCUGCAUGGCUGUCGUCAGCUCGUGUCGUGAGAUGUUGGGUUAAGUCCCGCAACGAGCGCAACCCUUGCCCUUAGUUGCCAGCACAUAAUGGUGGGAACUCUAAGGGAACUGCCCGGGUUAACCGGGAGGAAGGUGGGGACGACGUCAAGUCAUCAUGGCCCUUACAGGCUGGGCUACACACGUGCUACAAUGGUGGAUACAGUGGGCAGCGACCUCGUGAGGGGAAGCGAAUCUCCAAAAUCCAUCUCAGUUCGGAUUGCAGGCUGCAACUCGCCUGCAUGAAGUUGGAAUCGCUAGUAAUCGCGCAUCAGCAUGGCGCGGUGAAUACGUUCC
This 863-nucleotide ribosomal RNA is filed under the name uncultured Pseudomonadota bacterium. RNAcentral describes it as "bacterial SSU rRNA". It matches the Rfam family "Bacterial small subunit ribosomal RNA", at positions 512 to 1374 of the family's 1533-position model. Lineage: Bacteria; Pseudomonadati; Pseudomonadota. The record is from RNAcentral.